Mesoplodon densirostris (Blainville's beaked whale) is the source of this 576-nucleotide non-coding RNA. NCBI's taxonomy places the organism in Eukaryota, Metazoa, Chordata, Mammalia, Artiodactyla, Ziphiidae. The record is from the annotation of a RefSeq genome assembly.
AUGGCCUGGACCCUUCUCCUCCUCGGCCUCCUUGCUCACUGCACAGGGUCCUGGGCCCAGUCCGGGCUGAUGCAGGAAGGCUCCAUGUCAGGUUCUGUGGGACAGAAGGUCACCCUCUCCUGCACCGGAAAUGGCAACAAUGUUGGAGCUAAUAUCGUGAACUGGUACCAACAGAUUUCUCACGGGGACCCCAAAACGGCGAUGCUCGCAGGUUCUCUGCACUCAGGGAUCCUAGACCUGUUCUCUGGCUCCACGUCUGUCAACACGGCCUCUCUGACCAUCUCGGGGCUCCAGCCUGAGGACAAGGCUGAUUAUUACUGUUCAACGUGGGAUGACAGCAUCAGUGGAAAACACCAGCCCAGAAGGCGACUCCCUGAUGCCUCAGCAGAGGCCCCUCCCCUGGGAACCAGGACUUGGACGCAGUUUGGAUGCCCCUCACCUCCCCCACGCAAGACCGUUGUCAGGAACCACUCCGUCCACACGGACUCCGACAACCUCCUGACAAAGAAAACGUGCUUCCUCCCAGGGGGUCCCAAGGGGGAAGCCGCCCUCCAUCCCCUUGAGUCUGGGCUGUGA